ACUUUUUUAGUAUAUAAGUAUAUUUGACUUCCAAUCAAAAGGAUUUGGUAAUAAAUCCAAAAAAAAGUA
Molecule: transfer RNA, 69 nt
Rfam family: tRNA
About the family: Transfer RNA (tRNA) molecules are approximately 80 nucleotides in length. Their secondary structure includes four short double-helical elements and three loops (D, anti-codon, and T loops).